CGGCGAGGGGAGUGAAAAAGAACCUGAAACCGUGUACGUACAAGCAGUAGGAGCCUCUUUAUGGGGUGACUGCGUACCUUUUGUAUAAUGGGUCAGCGACUUAUAUUCUGUAGCAAGGUUAACCGCAUAGGGGAGCCGUAGGGAAACCGAGUCUUAACUGGGCGAAUGAGUUGCAGGGUAUAGACCCGAAACCCGGUGAUCUAUCCAUGGGCAGGUUGAAGGUUGGGUAACACUAACUGGAGGACCGAACCGACUAAUGUUGAAAAAUUAGCGGAUGACUUGUGGAUGGGGGUGAAAGGCCAAUCAAACCGGGAGAUAGCUGGUUCUCCCCGAAAGCUAUUUAGGUAGCGCCUCGUGAACUCAUCUUCGGGGGUAGAGCACUGUUUCGACUAGGGGGUCAUCCCGACUUACCAACUCGAUGCAAACUGCGAAUACCGAAGAAUGUUAUCACGGGAGACACACGGCGGGUGCUAACGUCCGUCGUGAAGAGGGAAACAACCCAGACCGCCAGCUAAGGUCCCAAAGUCAUGGUUAAGUGGGAAACGAAGUGGGAAGGCUCAGACAGCCAGGAUGUUGGCUUAGAAGCAGCCAUCAUUUAAAGAAAGCGUAAUAGCUCACUGGUCGAGUCGGCCCGCGCGGAAGAUGUAACGGGGCUAAACCAUGCACCGAAGCUGCGGCAGCGACACAAAGUGUUGUUGGGUAGGGGAGCGUUCUGUAAGCCUGCGAAGGUGUACUGUGAGGUAUGCUGGAGGUAUCAGAAGUGCGAAUGCUGACAUAAGUAACGAUAAUGCGGGUGAAAAACCCGCACGCCGGAAGACCAAGGGUUCCUGUCCAACGUUAAUCGGGGCAGGGUGAGUCGACCCCUAAGGCGAGGCUGAAAAGCGUAGUCGAUGGGAAACGGGUUAAUAUUCCCGUACUGGUGGUAACUGCGAUGGGGGAACGGAGAAGGCUAGGUUGUCCGGGCGACGGUCGUCCCGGUUCAAGCAGGUAGGCAGAGUGAUUAGGCAAAUCCGGUCACUUAAUGCUGAGAUGUGAUGACGAACCACCAAGGUGGUGAAGCAAUUGAUGCCCCGCUUCCAGGAAAAGCCUCUAAGCUUCAGGUUACCAACAAUCGUACCCCAAACCGACACAGGUGGUCAGGUAGAGAAUACUCAGGCGCUUGAGAGAACUCGGGUGAAGGAACUAGGCAAAAUGGUGCCGUAACUUCGGGAGAAGGCACGCUGGCGGUAGGUAAAGUCCCUCGCGGACAGAGCUGAAGCCAGUCGAAGAUACCAGCUGGCUGCAACUGUUUAUUAAAAACACAGCACUGUGCAAACACGAAAGUGGACGUAUACGGUGUGACGCCUGCCCGGUGCUGGAAGGUUAAUUGAUGGGGUUAGCGCAAGCGAAGCUCCUGAUCGAAGCCCCAGUAAACGGCGGCCGUAACUAUAACGGUCCUAAGGUAGCGAAAUUCCUUGUCGGGUAAGUUCCGACCUGCACGAAUGGCGUAAUGAUGGCCAGGCUGUCUCCACCCGAGACUCAGUGAAAUUGAACUCGCUGUGAAGAUGCAGUGUACCCGCGGCAAGACGGAAAGACCCCGUGAACCUUUACUAUAGCUUGACACUGAACAUUGAGCCUUGAUGUGUAGGAUAGGUGGGAGGCUUUGAAGUGUGGACGCCAGUCUGCAUGGAGCCAACCUUGAAAUACCACCCUUUAACGUUUGAUGUUCUAACCUAGGCCCAUAAACUGGGUCGGGGACCGUGUCUGGUGGGUAGUUUGACUGGGGCGGUCUCCUCCUAAAGAGUAACGGAGGAGCACGAAGGUUGGCUAAGCAUGGUCGGACAUCAUGCGGUUAGUGCAAAGGCAUAAGCCAGCUUGACUGCGAGAGUGACGGCUCGAGCAGGUACGAAAGUAGGUCUUAGUGAUCCGGUGGUUCUGAAUGGAAGGGCCAUCGCUCAACGGAUAAAAGGUACUCCGGGGAUAACAGGCUGAUACCGCCCAAGAGUUCAUAUCGACGGCGGUGUUUGGCACCUCGAUGUCGGCUCAUCACAUCCUGGGGCUGAAGUAGGUCCCAAGGGUAUGGCUGUUCGCCAUUUAAAGUGGUACGCGAGCUGGGUUUAGAACGUCGUGAGACAGUUCGGUCCCUAUCUGCCGUGGGCGUUGGAAGAUUGAGAGGGGUUGCUCCUAGUACGAGAGGACCGGAGUGAACGCACCACUGGUGUUCGGGUUGUCAUGCCAAUGGCAUUGCCCGGUAGCUAAGUGCGGAAGAGAUAACCGCUGAAAGCAUCUAAGCGGGAAACUUGCCUCGAGAUGAGUCUUCCCUGUCGCUUUAAGCGACCUAAAGGAACGUUUAAGACUAAGACGUUGAUAGGCUGGGUGUGUAAGCGUAGCGAUACGUUGAGCUAACCAGUACUAAUGAACCGUGAGGCUUAACCU
RNAcentral lists this ribosomal RNA (2415 nucleotides) under Proteus mirabilis. RNAcentral describes it as "bacterial LSU rRNA". It matches the Rfam family "Bacterial large subunit ribosomal RNA", at positions 527 to 2925 of the family's 2925-position model. Lineage: Bacteria; Pseudomonadati; Pseudomonadota; Gammaproteobacteria; Enterobacterales; Morganellaceae. The record is from RNAcentral. RNAcentral also lists the same sequence under 1 other name.